CUCCCGGUAGCCAAGUUGGUUUAAGGCGCAAGACUGUAAAUCUUGAGAUCGGGCGUUCGACUCGCCCCCGGGAGA
Molecule: transfer RNA, 75 nt
Filed under: Saccharomyces cerevisiae PW5
Lineage: Eukaryota; Fungi; Ascomycota; Saccharomycetes; Saccharomycetales; Saccharomycetaceae
Description: tRNA-Tyr (GTA) (tRNA-Tyr-GTA-2-1)
Rfam family: tRNA
About the family: Transfer RNA (tRNA) molecules are approximately 80 nucleotides in length. Their secondary structure includes four short double-helical elements and three loops (D, anti-codon, and T loops).
Source: RNAcentral